GUAAGUCACUUUCCUUCUAUCCAUAAAUCUUCCACCAUGUGGCUGUGCUGGAGUCUCUCUGAGCCUACUCUGGCUUGGAAGACUGCCUGAUUUGCUAAUCAUUCUUUGCUCAAAUUAAACUCUGUUAAAUUUAGUUAGUCCAGGGUUUUUUUUUUGUUUGUUUUUUUAAAAUCAAAUCUUCAGUGACUCUUUAUGGUGGUCAAUUAUGGCCAGGAUGGAUAGGAGACUACCAUGCAGAAAAGUAUGAGAGAGACUUGAAAACCAUGCAGUGAUCUUUAAAACCCUCUGAAUAUGUAUUUUCAAAUGCUGCUUUCAUAAGUCAUUAACCAUAAUUUAUUGAAUGUGUACUAUGUGUAUGGCAUUGUACUAGAUCCUUUAUAAACCAUAUAGAAUUUUUAUAGUAACCUUGAAAAGUAUGUGUUAUUAUAUCCACUGUACAUAUUGGGGGGACUGGAGGCUUAGAAAGUGGAAGUCGAGGCUUGCACACACUUAUUAUGAAAGGCCAGCUGGCAUGAUAGUGGUUCACCCUGAACAGCAGAUGGAACUGAUAACAGGCCCAUUAAAUUAUGGGCCAAAUAGUUUGCAACCUUAAGAAAUCCCUGUGAAAUGUUCAUAGAAUAUUAACUUCUUAUCUUAUCAAAGAAAAUUUUAACCCAUUGAAAUAUAAGAUUUGUGUUAGGGUCUGAAUGGCCAACCAUUUUUUUUUUUCUGUAUGUGUUUGAGAAUAAUGUGUUUUGCAAUUUUUACAUGCAGUAUUUUAUAUAAGCUUAUGGUACAGCUUGUUUAUUGUAUAAUUUAAAACUUCCUUGUCCUUACUAACUUUUGUCUGUUUAUUCUAUUGCUAAAAGUGGUAUAGUAAAUACACUACAAUAAUGCAUUUGUCAAUUUAUCUUUAGUUAUGUCACUUUCUGCUUCAUAUAUUUUGAGACCAUGUUAUUAGGUACAUAAAAUAUAAUAAUUAUAUUUUUUUCUGGCAAACUGAAGCUUAUUAUAAAUGACCCUCUUUGUUGCGAGUAAUGCCUUUUGCAUUUACAACUGAUGGAGACAGGACGCAGCCAAAAGUCCCUGGUGAAACCCCGCCUUCAAGCCUAAAACAGCCUGAAGGAUGAAAAACCAGACUUCUGGUGCCUGAUGAAGCCUGCCCUUUCCUGACUGAUUCUAAAUAAUGCCUACCUGCCAACUGGGAAGGCAGGGUGGAGCCUUCGGAAAUUCAUGACCUUCGCAGGGGAGAGGAGCUUGGCCUCUCCUAUUCCUGUGUGGUGACCUGGGAUUCAAACUGUGAGGCGGAAAACCUGCUAGCAGGAGUCUCGCUUUGCUGAGAGUUAUUUUUCUUUUCCUUUUUAUCCAAUAAAUUCCGUCUUCUCACGCUUCUAUGUGUCUGUGACCCUACUCUUUCCUGGUCGUGUGACAAGAGCCUGGUUUUAGCUGACCUAAGAAGAAAGUUCUGCAACAUUUUUGGUGUCCAGACGUGAGUCUUGAGGAAGGACAAGUACAGACAAUCACCAGGAACUAAGGAACAAGAAGCAUCCAACCCUGCAUCUGUGGGUUUCCUGAGGUGACUCUCAAUUGUCAUAGGGGUGAAGAGUGAGUGAGGAAACCCUUGGAGCACUUGUUUGCUUCACAGACAUCCUGACCUCCUUUCAACUGUAAAGACUUAGUCAGAGGACGGCGGCUCCCUCAGCCUCAUUCUGCAGUUCCAAUGACACUUUUUACAAAGGCUCUGUACUUGUCUGAUUCUUAAAUAUUCCAGUUUUUGAACUUUGCUGCAGUAGUUGUAUUCGAAAUGGGUUAAUUGUCUCAUUUUCUUUUUAAUGCCUACUCUUUCAAGGCUCAAAUCUUGAAUAGGUCAAAAAGAGCAAGAGGAAAAUGUCAGAGAAUGGAGAAAGGCAAAUACAGAGAAGCAGUGUGAACAUCCACCCGGCGAGGGUUUCACAGAGCCAAGCAGAAAAGGAGCACAGGUGACCUUGGCAGGAAGGCAUGCAUGGGAGAGCAGGUCUGCACUCUGGGACACCAGCCUCAACAGAAUACGAGUUUUGAAUUUUUGAAUUGCUGUUAAAACUUUCAUCAUGAACACUGAAGUGAGUGAAAAGAGACUUUUGCAGUCAUUUUUUUGCUGGCUGCAGAUGACAGUGACACCCUGGGAGUUGAGAAAUGCUUGUAAGAUGGAAGGAGGCUGUGUCCCUGAAUGAUCACCUGGAAGAGAGCCACCUUAGCCAAUGAAACUCCUGCUAUGAAUGUUUGCUGAGCAAGAAAUAUACUUACUGCUUUAUAUGCCUUUGAAGCUAUAGGUUCAUAUUGUUACCACAAUUUAAAGUGCUAUAAUAAAAAGAGUUCAGGAAGCAGGCACAUGGAAGCAAUAAGAGCAACAAACAUUUACACAGGACAGAGAUCAUGGAAGUUGGGCCCGACUGGAUGAGAUUUGGGGGUCUUUGGAAGUGGAGAAUGUGUUUGCCCUGGGGAAGAGAGGUGAUGUCUAGGAGACCUCUUCACUCAGGGCAAGCUCUAUGACCUGCUUUGACUCCAGAAUGUGGUAGAAGUGGCAUCACAUAAAUUGCAGAGCCUAGGCUUCAAGAGACCUUGCAACUUGCCUCUCACUGACUUGAAGUGCUCCCAUCAGAGCAUCUUGUAAGGAGCAGGUGGAGCAUGUGGACAAGCCAUCCCCACCAGCCCCUGAGACAUGUGAGAGAGGCCAGAACAGGCCAUCCGGACCCCACUGUGCUGGUGGAUGAGACAGCAGAAGGAAUAUCAACCUACCAACAGAAUCCUGAGAAAUGCUCACUCUUACUUCAAGCUGCUGCAUUUUGAUGUUAUGAAACCAUAAAUAACUUAUGAAGUCAUCUUUGCUGACUUAAAGUUUUCCAUAACUUUAUUAUAACAUAUCAAAAUUAUGAAAAAUGUGAAAAGUAGAAAACUGAUGAAUUUUGCUUCUUCAUAUGGUCUUUAAGAAUCUCAAAGGCACUGAAGUUUUUUAUCUUUUCUGUCUUAGAAUAAAAAACCUUGAAUGAAAAUCUGCUUCUUGGAAAAGCAGCAAGGUUUAUGCAGAGGCAAUCUGGUAUUUGUGUGCACUGGCAGCUGAUCAUACCCAGCAUGCACGCACUCUCAGGGCAGAGUCUGAUGCCCCACAUAAUGGGGCAUGGUAAGGACUCCCAUGUCCUUGAGAUAAAAUGAUAAGGAAAAUACACACUGCUAUUAGAAUAACAGGCCCAGCUUCUGCACAUUUUAAUUCCCAAAGUUUUCAUGAAAGACAAUGAUUUUUUGGUACCAUGUUUAACUCUACAAGAAUCAGUAGUGAAAACUAAAAAUGAUACUUUGUGAAAGUUCAUUAAUUUUGUUUUCAGCCAGUGGUGGCCUUGGUCAGAUAGAAUCAAAUCUAUGAUACUUUUUAUCAGAAAUGCUUAUACUGUGUACAAACCCAAAGUGAUGGCUUUCAAAGAUUGAAUUUGAUUAUUUUCUGUAUGGUGCAGAUGAAAAAUUACUACACAGGAGAAGGUGGGUUGGAGGUGCUCACGAGUAACCAGGAAACAGUCUGAAGUUUUUCUGAUACUUCUCCUUGGUCCAACCAAAUGUGAGAUAUAAACACAAACUUGGGAUUCCGUUCUUAUGUUUUGGUUGUUUCAGUCUUUACAGAUGUAUCGAAAGGCUGUCCAAAAAUGUCUGACUUCUGUAGUGUGCCUUCGUAGCACUAGAGGGUUCUGCAGCUGUGAAACUGAAGGCAUUGGCAAGAAGCCCUCCAUCUUCAAACCACUUUCUGCUAAGGUGUGGCUCUAUAAAACCACUAUGAGCUGGGCUUCACUGAGACUGAGUUGUUUCAGUAGGAUCUUCCGGAAAAACAUGUUCCCUCCUUUACCUGGGUUGUCAUUCUGAGAACAAUCACACCUCCAAUUUUGGCUUACUAAGCAAUAGCGUUUUAAUGAUUUUAAGCCAGGAUUUGCUCCUCCUUUCCUCAGUAUGAGAGCUUAACCACUGGAGGAACCAAGAAUUCAUGCUGGUUGGGUUCUGAUUCCACUUUAACUUACUGUAUAGCCUCAUCCCUUGUUUUUCUGGAGAUUCUCUUUUUCUGCUUCACUGAUUUAUAUUUACAUUAAAAUCAAAUGAGGCCAUGUUUCUGAAAUCACAUUGUCCCUACAUGGUCAUUACAAUGAGUCUGUAAUGUGACUGAAAGACAGCCAUGGAUACAGGUAGAGGAUAUCAGGCAAUUGAAUGCUCAUCAAGCAUUCAAUUCAGGGCAAAUGGCAUAAGGUAUGCAGUUGGCCUCUUCUGAUAUCUGUGUCUUAAUCCUUUCUUUAGCCUCUGUUUUCUGGACCAAGGCUAAGAUAUUUUCUGGGCACAGUGGCUCAUGCCUAUAAUCCCAGCACUCUGGGAGGCCAAGGUGGGAGGAUUUCUUCAGCCCAGGAGUUCGAGACCAGCCUGGGGAACAUAGGAGACCUCAUUCCUACAAAUAAUAAAAAAAAUUAGCCAGCUCUGGUGGCGUGUGCUUAUUGGUCUCAGCUACUUGGGAGGCUGAGGUGGGAGGACUGCUUGAGCCCAGAAGAUCGCAGCUGCAUUGAGCCAUGAUUGUGCCACUGAACCCUAGCCUGAGCAACAGAGCAAGGCCUUAUCUCAAAAAAAAAAAAAAAUUCUGAGCCUUCUAAUUUUUUUUUUCUUUAAUUAACUUUCUGUAAGCCCAGCAAGUAAAUAAAACACUUAUUUUAUGAAGCAUCUAGUUGCUUUUAGGGGAAGGGACAUCCUCCGCAUAGUAUCUAGGCCAGCUCACUUUCUUCUCCUUACUGUUGAUUUACUCUCUGCCAUUGAAUCUUCUGUGCCAAUGUUGGAUUAAUGUUUCCGGGCCCUACUUUCAUCAUGCUCCUCUGUAUUAUCACCUGUUUUGGUUUACAGCAAUGAUUUUUAAGGUAAGGCAUGGUGUGUCCAUCAUAGUCACAUGGGAACUUUUUCAAGCCAUAUUAAAAAUGUCCCCCAUUCAUCAUUCUGCCCCUGGAACAGUGUGUGCAGUUGGGACCUUCAAGUAAAUCUACUUUGUUGAAACCCACUGAUCAGCAUGGUGUAUUUCAUAACUCUUUGACUUACAUUCAAGAAAUUCCUUAACCUGAACUCCAUUUUACUCUUUUUUUCAUUCAUUCAAAUUAAGAAUAUUGCCUGAACAUGAAUUAUCUGCUAGACGUUUUUCUAGGUGCAGGAGGAGUAAGGAUGAACAUAACUAGCCAUAACUAUAGCUAUCAAUUGUGGAGUGUCUGUUAUGUGCCAGGCACUUUUAAGUGACCUACUCGAUUUACUUGCAUGACAAACUGUGAGGAAAAGCCCAAUAUUAUCCCCUAUUAACAGAUGAGGAAACUGAAGCACAAACAGCAUGAAUAGUUUGUUCCAGAUUGCAUCAUAAGAGGCACAGCCAGCUUUCCUACCAAAGCAGCCCUGGCCCAGAGUCCGUACUCCCUCCUCCCCUGCCUCUGCCUGGUGGAUAAGGUCACCCUGGCCUUGUGGAACUUAUGCUCUAGUGGGGACAAAUAGUUAUAGAGAAUGACCGAUGUUACUAAGAAAAUAAAAGCUGGUAAGAAAACAGAAGCACUGAGGAGGUGACUGAAGUGAGCAUUUAUAAUUUUAUGUUAUAUCCAUUGUAAAAUAUAAGUUUAGCUUUCUCAUACCAGAAGCAGGGCUCAGUCCACCCUUGACUCAGUUUCCAAUACUGUUCCCCAUCAGAAUGGCUCUUGCUGGUGGCCAGAAGUAAAACUUAGAAAUAUCUCUCUCAGAGACACCUAAGCAGGCUGGGCUCCCCGGUUUCCUGUUGCUUCCUUUAAAGAAGCUCUUCAGACAUCUGCACAAGAACUCAAAGUGACCACCUCUCAGCCCAGCAUGACCUACUGGAACUAAUGCCUGCUUGCUUUCAACCUACCAAUUAAAGCUCCCCAGGAAACCUGUUUAGAUAACACCCUGGACCCAAGAAAGGUGCUGGGCCAUGGGUUUCUUCUCUCUCUCCCUAUCUGUGCUCCCUGACCCCCUGUGUGUGUGUGGUCUCUAGGCUUGCCUUCUAUCCCUGAGGGUCUGUAAAUACUAAAAACACUUAAACUUUCAUAUUGUAGUUGUGUCUUUGAAGCCAGGUCCCCAUCCCGUACCUUGAGGGCAAGGCCUCCUGGAAGGGACCCAUGUAGGUGGAUCCCCUGCUGUCCAGGCCUCUUAGCUGCUGGGGUAGUGACCAGUUAAGUGGAUAGAGUUUCAUUCAAAACAAUAAUCAUUCAACUGUAUCUCACAUCAAACCUCUGCUCUAGUUUAUGUAUCUACUUUAUGUUCUUAGAAGACUGUGCAAACACAUUGUCUUUUUUGAGUACCUGUCUUGUCCUAGGUACUCUGCUUGGUACGGGGAGAGACGAAUCUUCUGUCUUCAGGGGCUUCCACUCCAGCAGGGAGAACAUGACUAAUAGUGACUGCCUGCUGCUGUAGGUAAUAAGUGGCUCCCACUAGGCCCUCCAUUUGGUGGCCCCCUGUCCCUCUCACUGGUGGAAGCCUACCUGUCCUCUAAGGACCAGCUCACUAAUGUCCUAGAUCCUCACGGACCAGAUUGCUUUUCUCAGAACUGAAGAGCACUUACUAAUGGCACCUCUUGUCAUAUGCCAUCCCAGGAUUUGAAUUUUUUUUUUUUUUCUGUCUUGUGGCCCAAAUAAAUCCUGAACUCCUCGAGGGCUGGGAGUGUAUCUAGCAGUUUCCUUAUACUGGACUAAUCAGAUGCUGACUAGGUAGCAGUGAGAAAAAUCUAGAAAUUCCCUUUUAGCCACAUCGACUUACACGAGGGGAUGUGUGUAAGGUACUAUAGCUCUUUAAACAAGAGGUGGUCUCGUUUGAAGGGUGGAUUGAUGUGGGUGUUCAAAUGAUGUCACAAGUGGCUGGUUUCUCUGUCUCCAUUUCUUUUUUUUUUGGCUCCAUUUCCAAAUUUCCCAGAUAGCACAGCAAGUUGGCCCCAGCAGCUCUAGACACUCCAUCUUCUCAGGGCAUAGCCAACACAAUAAAAUAUUUCAAGUUCCUGAAAGAUAGCUGAAAUAAGCCCUAGAAGUUUCUGGAUUGGGAGCAGAGCCAAACCUGCCAGCUCACAUAGAUGAGGGCAGGGAAUAGGGUGUCUCACGAUCACAGUGUCCUGCCUUCUGAUUUGCCUGGGACUGUCCUGUUUUGGCACCAAAAAUAUCUGCAUCCUAGGAAACCCUCAGGUCCUGGGCAAAUUCAGACAGUGACUUGCCCUAUCAGAAGCAAAGCAAGGUGCCAUUACCUGAGGUGGGCAAAUUCAGACAGUGACUUGCCCUAUCAGAAGCAAAGCAAGGUUGCCAUUACCUGAGGUGGGCAAAUGGAGGCUGGGUGGCCAGUGAGUGACCAAUAACCCCAGCAUUGGAGAGAGUGGAGCAGCCCUUCAAGAAGUUCCAACCUCUGCCCAGGACUGGUUUUACCAACUUCACUAGGCUUAGAAUCGUAGGAAGUCUAUUUGGGACUUGCGAGUCUCACGUAUUCCUGCCUAAAUGUUUAUGGAUACCUGUUUAGAGCUGAAAUCUUUUCAGCUCCCAUAAUAUGAGGGAAUUAGGUCUCAAAGAAGAUCAUGUAUUUUGAUCAGACCUUAUAGCUGAGCAGUGGAAAGAAAAAAAAUCAGUGUGAGAUCUCCCAGGGUUCCGCAGGAGUGGCUUCCUUAGUCCAACUGGCAGCCUAUCCUGGAAUAUUGCCUGGGAGAGAGGUUAGUUGCUUUUCCUGGUGCUAGGAACUGAAUGGUUUUACAUAUUGAUCAAUGAAAAUACUUAUUUGGCCUACAAUAGGUGCAAAAAUACUGCUAAUUACUAACAGUAUCUCUUCUUUGCUGCGUGCCAGACACUCCACUGGGCAUUAUGCAGUUAAUAUGUACCAUGAAUUUCCCGUGGUUAGCAAUGAUGUCAGGCAUAGAAAAGACAUGAAAUUAUGAUGUCAAAUGAAUAAACUGGAAAAAGGAAUUUCUUGAAUUUUCUCCAGCUGUCCUAAGAAUGUAUCUAUACUUUGAUCCUGGCCUACCUUUUCAACAUCUAAACUUUAUUCCCCCAAGCUUCUAGAUAUUCAAAGUUAAGUAUUAAAUAAAAUCAGUAAAUAUAUACAAGCUUGUUUGGCCAUUCUGAAUAAGGUUAUAUUUCCACCACACAAUCUCCAAAUUCUCUAGCAGAAGGGAUCAGUAUGUUAUAGAUACCCCCUUUCCUUCCCUCCCUGGCAAGCCACCACAUCUGUUAUGGGUACUCAAUGCAGUGGCUGCACCUGGGCCUCACUCAUUAAGCAGUUGUUGAUUGAGUGACUGAAUUGAAUGCCUGAUGAGCUCGCAAGUAAGAUUCAGACUGUGCCUGCAAACUAAUAGGAUCCCUCCGCUUUUUAUUCACUACUGCUGAGGUAGAUCUCAGGCCAGCCUGAAGUUUAGGUCUACUGAGAAAUAAUAAGCCUCAAAAAUCGAGCUUUGCUUCACCCAGUCUCCCAGUAAACACUAAGAAAUGUUCACAUUAUUUACACAUCCUAGACUGCCUGUCUUAUGGACCAAAUGUUUGUGUUCUCCCCGCAAUUUAUACAUUGGAAUCCUAACCCUCAAUGUAAUAGCAUUAGGUGCUGGGGUCUUUGGGAGGUGAUUGGCUAAUGGACCUGGAGCCCUCAUGAUGGGAUGAGUCCCCUUAUCAGAAGAGACCUGAGAAGGCUUGCUUCCUCUCCCUGUGCUCUUCAUGAUGUGAAGACACAAGAAGACAGCCAUCUGUGGGCCAGGAAGAGGUCCUCACUGGAACCCAACCAUGCUGGCACCCCAAUCUUGAAUUUCUAGCUUCAAGAACUUGGGAAAUAAAUGUAAGCCAGCCAGCUUAUGGAUUUGUUACAGCAGCCUAAGCUAAGUCAGAGUCUCUAGAACAGCUGGUCUGGGGCAGCGGUGAAGGGAGGUGGGUGGGCAUAUGACCCUGCCCUGCACAUGAAUGGCAAAGGCAACUGGAGAGCCUCUCCCUUUUGGUGAGAUCCCCAGUCCACAAGGGCAUGUUCAUCCAUAGCUUUACUUCCCGAAGCAAAUUCUGGUUCCUGGGGCCUGUGCCUCCAUAGAUGGCAUGAUCUGCAGCCUCCUGUGGUAAUUUACCCUCUUCCUAAAUUUCUGAGUCUUCACAUUUAAGCAAUCCUAGUUAGAUAUCCUCUACCUGUAUCCAUGGCUGUCUUUCAGUCACAUUACAGACUCAUUGUGAUGACCAUGUAGGGACAAUGUGAUUUCAGAAACAUGGCCUCAUUUGAUUUUAAUGUAAAUAUAAAUCAGUGAAGCAGAAAAAGAGAAUCUCCAGAAAAACAAGGGAUGAGGCUGUACAGCAAGUUAAAGUGGAAUCAGAACCCAACUGUAGUCCAUUAUUUGUUUCAAUCCUGCUCUUUUCUACCAUAUCACCCAGUUUCCAAAUCGUUCAGCAAAUUGCCAUGGUCAAUGGGAUUAACCUUUCCCUUUUAUUCUCAGGAAAUCUCCCUUGUCCAUUUUGCAAGACUGUGUGAUUCUUUCUACUGUUACAAGGAAUAAAAGCCUUCCUAAAAAGGUCUUUGGUGCCUUUAUUAUUUUACGGAUCAUUUCUGAGGGAAUUAUUGAACUUCAUUAUGUAACCACCCCUUGGGUUCACCUUGCCCACUGCCUAGACAGAGCCAAUUUAUCCAGACAGGAGAAUUGCAAUGGAGAAAGAGUAAUUC
RNAcentral lists this long non-coding RNA (9669 nucleotides) under Homo sapiens (human). Its description in RNAcentral is "HSALNT0136843". The record is from RNAcentral. Lineage: Eukaryota; Metazoa; Chordata; Mammalia; Primates; Hominidae.